RNAcentral lists this long non-coding RNA (4346 nucleotides) under Homo sapiens (human). RNAcentral describes it as "HSALNT0136576". Lineage: Eukaryota; Metazoa; Chordata; Mammalia; Primates; Hominidae. The record is from RNAcentral.
GUGUACACCUUUUGGGGGGCCACCACUCAGCCCACUGGCGUGCGUGACAGCAAGUACCUGGGAAAGGUGAGGAAACAGAGUCUCCCCUGGGCCUGCAGAAGGAGCACAGCCCCGCCUGCCUCCAUCUUAGCCGGCUGAGACCCAGGCUAUAUUCUCAGGAACAAUCUUCUGGUACCACCUGCUCUUCUAGAAUGUGACCUUGCCACUUCCCCAUGCGCUUGGACCAGGCAGACCUGCUCCUGUUUCAGCCAACACAGUAUGGUGAAAGUUAUCUGGGUGAUUUUCAAGGCUGUCAGAAAAGGCCAUGCAGCUCCCAAUUGAUUUUCCUGAGGCCUUGACAGCAGAGUGAGAUGUCCUUUGUCAUGCCGGAGGGUCCACAGGGAGGUGCUGAUGGACAUCACUGUUGUUUCCCAGAAGCCAUCAGCUCUGUGAGGGAGUCACCGCUUGCCCUCAGGACCAGCCUUCUGCCAACCGAGUUCCAGGCGUGGUAUCAGCAUCCAAGAGGAGCAAUGGAGCAGCCAGCUGAUUCUGCCAGACUCCUGAGCUUCUGGAUCCAUGAGCAUAGUAAAAUGCUUGCUGUCUGACACCACUAAGUUUGAGGUAAUUUGUUACACAGCAGCAAGAACUGAAAAUGUUUGCUCAUGAAAUUAGCAAAAGGUUUUAAAAUAAUGAUAUUUAGCCUUCAUUGGAGUGCACAUUGCAUCCGUUCAGCCUUGAUGAAAAAUAACUUCAUAAUGCAUUAAGGGUCUUAAAACCUCCAGACUUUUUGACUCUGUGGCACUAUCCCAAGGAUAUGAUCAAAUAAUGUGUACAUUAUUAAUGCCUAUAUUAUUUAUGAUAAUGGUAGUGGCAUAUAAACUCUUCAACAUUAAGUAAAUUAUUCAACAAUUUUAUUCAAUUAAGUCAUAAACUUAUUAAUUUGUACUAUUUAAGAGUUUUUAAUAGCAUGGGUGUGAAUGACUGUCCAACCAUGAAACAGAAGCUACUCCAUGUAUUUGAACACAGUUAAGACACAGGGAAAUUUAUAGAGAAUUAGUUUCACUGGUAACGUAAGAAGUGAGAAGCCAAGCAGGGGAUGCAGAGCUCAGCAACCUCACGCUGAAGUGACAUAGGAAAGAGUCCCUGUCACCAGCACCCAGGAUUGGGGUUACCUAGCAAAAAUCAGGAACACAGCAGGCCUGUCAGAAGGAUUUGCAGGCACAGAGGGCACUCUCACAUGGCAGGUUUUGCCAUCUGUGACAGCAACAGAGAAAGGAGACAUGGCCUGGAUUCUCUCAGCCCUUAUCCUCCAUUCAAACUCACCUAGAAUCUUACUGACCUAGGAGACAAGCAAGCACGGGACUCAAAAUAAGCCCUCAGAGGUGCAUAGCAGGGCGGCAGAAGGACAAGCAAAGUCUAAGGAAAGAAGCCUAGGACCAGCAAUACAAAGUGAAUGCAAAAAAUAGAGUGAAUGCUUGAAGGCAGGCUGUAACGCGCACACCUGGACACUUGCUUUCACGUGCCUGUAAGAUGAUUGGAGAACAGAACUCUAAAUGGUGGAUUAUUCAAAAGUGAUUUAACUCUAUGGUAACUUUAACUUUGCAAGUUUGACUUCCAAAAUCUUAACAUAAUUGUUGAUAUUGGUGAACUUUGUUUCAUAAGGCAAGAUUUCACUAGACCAAUUAAUUUUUUAUAAAUUCUCAUCACAGAAAAAAAGACAAAAUUUUAACUUAAAAAUAUAUUGUUGACACAUAAUAAUUGUAUAUAUCUAUGGGGUAAAAUGUGACAUGUUGAUACAUGCAUGCAUUGUGUAAUUAUCAACUUUAGGUAAUUAACAUAUCCAUCAGCUUAAAAUAAUCAUUUCUUUGUGAUGAGAACAUUCAAAACCUCUCUUCUAGCUAUUUUGAAAUACAUAAUGCAUUAGUUUUAACUCUAGUCAUCCUACGAUGCAAUAGAAUGACAGAACUUAUUCCUCCUUGUCAACAGUACCUUUGGACCCAUUGACUAAUCUCUUCCCCACUCCACUCUCCCCUCCCUUUCCCAUCCUCUGGUAACCACUAUUCUACUCUCUACUUCUAUGAGACCAACUUUUAGAUUCCACAUAUGAGUGGGAUCAUGCAGUGUUUGUCUUUCUGUUCCUGGAUUAUUUCACUCUCAGUAGUGGCUCUCCACUCCUAGAAGCCUCUUUCCACUCCUAGAGGUCACCCUUCACUCCUAGAGGUCGCUCUCCACACUAGAGGACACCUUCCACUCCUAGAGGUUGCCCUUCACUCCUAGAGGUCACUCUCCACUCCUACAGGCCAACUUCCACUCCUAGAGGCAACUUUUCAUUCCCAGGGAUUACCCUCCACUACCAGAGGUCACUCUCCACUUCUGAAGGCCACCCUCCACUCUUAGAGGCCAGCAUUCAUUUCUGGAGGCCACCCUCCACUCUUAGAGGCGACGCUUCACUUCUGGAGGCUACCCUCCACUCUUAGAGGCUGCUCUUCACUCUUAGAGGCCACUGUUCACUCCUGGAGGCCACUCUCCAUUCUUAGAGUCUGCCCUCCACUCCAAGAGGUUGCCCUUCACACUUUGUGGCUUUUCUCAGCUACCAAAGGCUGCCCUUAUUUCCUUGCCCCAUAACUUUCUUAGCCAUUACCAACCUCAUUGAGCCAGCAAGAAAAAUCUCCAGAAUGAGAGUUCUACAAGACAGAGUCUUAUAUAGGAAGAUAAUUGUAAGAGUGACAUCUCCUCACCUUUGCUAUAUUCUCUCGGUAGGAAGCAUGCACUCAAAGAGAGUAGAUCCUACAAAGGUGUGAACACUGGGAGCUGUGGAUCAUUCAGGGGUUGACUUAGAGUCUGUCUGUAAUAGAUCCCGUGGGUAAGAUCUACAUACACUAUUUAUGGCACAACUGUAUAGCUAAAAAGGAAAUAUGUUCAAAAUAGGUGGUCCUGAAAAUAGAAAACCAUAAGUAAGAACUUUUAAAUAUUUUGUCCCAUGGCCCAAAUGAACAUCCCUCAGAACCACAUUAACUUAGAGUUAGUUUUCAGGAGGGUAUUCUUAAUUAUAGCAGUAAUCUAAAAUAAAUAACUGGCAGAUAAAACAGAAACAAGUACCCCUCAACAAAAUCCAACAUUAUUCCUCUCUCUCUCUCUUUUUUUUUUAGACGGAGUCUUGCUCUGUAGCCCAGGCUGGAGUGCAGUGGGGCAAUCUUGGCUCACAGCAACCUCCAUCUCCCGGGUUCAAGCAAUUUUCCUGCCUCAGUCUCCUGAGCAAAUGGAAUUACAGGCACAUGCCACCACACCUGGCUAAUUUUUGUAUUUUUAGUAGAAACUGGGUUUCACCAUGUUGGCCAGGCUGGCCUCAAACUCUUGACCUCAGGUGAUCCAGGUACCUCGGCCUCCCAAAGUGCUGGGAUUUCAGGUGUGAGCCACCAUGCCUAGCCUAUUAUUUCUCUUUUGACACACAGAUAUAUUCCAAAGUAUAUGUAAGCAUCUGUAUAAUUGCUAUAACAAUUUCACAGUUAUUUAUUAUGAAGUUAAUGUUAAUUAAUUUAUUCUGCUGUACAUAUCUACAUGAUGCAUCCACGAAGGGAAGAAAAACAAUUAUCACACCAACCUUGACCACUUAUUAUUUUAAUUUUGUAAUUGAUUUUACUUUUUAAAGCAGUUGUAGACGCACAGCAAAAUUAGGAGGAAGAUGCAGAGUUCUCACGUCUCCAGCCCCACAUGUGCACAGCCUUUCCCAUCAUCAACUUCUCCCACAAAGGGGUCACAUUUGUCCCAGUCAAUGUAACACAUCAUUAUUACCCAGAGGCUGUAGUUUACAUUUGAAUUCACUCUUGGUGUUGUACAUCCUAUGGGUUUGGAGAAAUGUACAAUGCAUAAUGACAGUGUAUAAAAUCAUAUGUUGACUUUUUCUUAGGAAAAAAAAUCCGUAAAAUGAAUGUAGAAACUAAAAGGAAAUGCUUUUGACCUAGUAUUAUUAUUAUUUGCUUGCAUUCGACCCUUGAAAGAGAAAACACAAUGUCAGGAUCUUGAAAAAAAUUGGCAGCUAAGAAGGUUGUGUCCUUGGAACAGGAAGUAAACAUUUAUGAGGGACAAAAUAAAGGAUAGUUAUUUUUGUUAUUUAUACUUUAUCCCUGGAAAUCAAUCUAUCAUGUGUUUCAUUUCUUCUUUGUCUCUCCUUUUGUUUAUUUGACAAGUGUUCAUUUUUUUGCUGGUUGGUUGGUUAUUGUCAUUUUUGCUGUUAGAAUUGUAAAUGCAUACAAUUUUAAUAUUAUAUAUAUGUAUAUACAUGUAUGUGUGUGUGCGUGUGCAUGCACGUCCGUGUAUUCAAAUGUUGGUAGAGUCACCUUAAAAGAAGGGGGGUUGUGUUAUCCAAG